UUCAAGGGGUGCCCGAUAGUUCGGGCUGAGAUGAUACCCUCUAACCUGAUCUGGAUCAUACCGGCGUAGGGAUGGAAUUAAUUA
RNAcentral lists this non-coding RNA (84 nucleotides) under uncultured Prevotella sp. RNAcentral describes it as "TPP riboswitch (THI element)". It matches the Rfam family "TPP riboswitch aptamer (THI element)", at positions 7 to 92 of the family's 105-position model. From Rfam's summary of the family: Vitamin B(1) in its active form thiamin pyrophosphate (TPP) is an essential coenzyme that is synthesised by coupling of pyrimidine and thiazole moieties in bacteria. The previously detected thiamin-regulatory element, thi box was extended, resulting in a new, highly conserved RNA secondary structure, the THI element, which is widely distributed in eubacteria and also occurs in some archaea. Lineage: Bacteria; Pseudomonadati; Bacteroidota; Bacteroidia; Bacteroidales; Prevotellaceae. The record is from RNAcentral.